RNAcentral lists this transfer RNA (69 nucleotides) under Laimosemion kirovskyi. RNAcentral describes it as "tRNA-Ala". It matches the Rfam family "tRNA". From Rfam's summary of the family: Transfer RNA (tRNA) molecules are approximately 80 nucleotides in length. Their secondary structure includes four short double-helical elements and three loops (D, anti-codon, and T loops). The record is from RNAcentral. Lineage: Eukaryota; Metazoa; Chordata; Actinopteri; Cyprinodontiformes; Rivulidae.
AAAGCUUUAGCUUAAUUAAAGCCUCUGUUUUGCAUGCAGAAGAUGUGGGUUAUUCACCCGUAAGUUUUA